UGUCAAUUAAAAUCUUACAUACGUACCCAUACAAAAUUUUAUUACUGAUGGUAAUAUCUAUGUAUACGUAAUUAUGUUGAAUCUUUAUAUCUCCAUAAACGAUAUUAUUUACUGUGAAGCUAACCAGUAAGGGGAAAGAUUGACCGAAUAAGACAACAAUUUUAAUAACAAGAAAUGCGUAGAGUCGAUAAAUUCUAGAUGGAAAUAUAUCAUUAUACGAAAGGAUGUCAUUAAAAUUUUAUUGGA
Molecule: long non-coding RNA, 246 nt
Organism: Diabrotica virgifera virgifera (western corn rootworm)
Lineage: Eukaryota; Metazoa; Arthropoda; Insecta; Coleoptera; Chrysomelidae
Exons: 2
Source: RefSeq, a predicted model, not a curated record